ACUGAAUACAUAGGUUAACAGAGCAAACCGGGGGAACUGAAACAUCUAAGUACCCCGAGGAGAAGAAAUCAACCGAGAUUCCGGUAGUAGCGGCGAGCGAACCUGGAUUAGCCCUUAAGCACUCGGUGAAGUAGGUGAACAAGCUGGAAAGCUUGGCGAUACAGGGUGAUAGCCCCGUAACCGACGCUUCAUCGAGCGUGAAAUCGAGUAGGGCGGGACACGUGAUAUCCUGUCUGAAUAUGGGGGGACCAUCCUCCAAGGCUAAAUACUCCUGACUGACCGAUAGUGAACCAGUACCGUGAGGGAAAGGCGAAAAGAACCCCUGUGAGGGGAGUGAAAUAGAACCUGAAACCGUGUACGUACAAGCAGUAGGAGCACCUUCGUGGUGUGACUGCGUACCUUUUGUAUAAUGGGUCAGCGACUUAUAUUCAGUGGCAAGGUUAACCGUAUAGGGGAGCCGUAGCGAAAGCGAGUCUUAACUGGGCGCUCAGUCUCUGGAUAUAGACCCGAAACCGGGUGAUCUAGCCAUGGGCAGGUUGAAGGUUGAGUAACAUCAACUGGAGGACCGAACCGACUAAUGUUGAAAAAUUAGCGGAUGACUUGUGGCUAGGGGUGAAAGGCCAAUCAAACUCGGAGAUAGCUGGUUCUCCCCGAAAGCUAUUUAGGUAGCGCCUCGGACGAAUACUACUGGGGGUAGAGCACUGUUAAGGCUAGGGGGUCAUCCCGACUUACCAACCCUUUGCAAACUCCGAAUACCAGUAAGUACUAUCCGGGAGACACACGGCGGGUGCUAACGUCCGUCGUGGAGAGGGAAACAACCCAGACCGCCAGCUAAGGUCCCAAAGUAUUGCUAAGUGGGAAACGAUGUGGGAAGGCUCAGACAGCUAGGAUGUUGGCUUAGAAGCAGCCAUCAUUUAAAGAAAGCGUAAUAGCUCACUAGUCGAGUCGGCCUGCGCGGAAGAUGUAACGGGGCUAAGCAAUACACCGAAGCUGCGGCAAUAUCUUUUAGAUAUUGGGUAGGGGAGCGUUCUGUAAGCCGUUGAAGGUGAAUCGUAAGGUUUGCUGGAGGUAUCAGAAGUGCGAAUGCUGACAUGAGUAACGACAAAGGGGGUGAAAAACCUCCUCGCCGGAAGACCAAGGGUUCCUGUCCAACGUUAAUCGGGGCAGGGUGAGUCGACCCCUAAGGUGAGGCCGAAAGGCGUAAUCGAUGGGAAACGGGUUAAUAUUCCCGUACUUCUGACUAUUGCGAUGGGGGGACGGAGAAGGCUAGGUGGGCCAGGCGACGGUUGUCCUGGUUCAAGUGCGUAGGCUUGAGAGUUAGGUAAAUCCGGCUCUCUCUAAGGCUGAGACACGACGUCGAGCUGCUACGGCAGUGAAGUCAUUGAUGCCAUGCUUCCAGGAAAAGCCUCUAAGCUUCAGAUAGUCAGGAAUCGUACCCCAAACCGACACAGGUGGUCGGGUAGAGAAUACCAAGGCGCUUGAGAGAACUCGGGUGAAGGAACUAGGCAAAAUGGUACCGUAACUUCGGGAGAAGGUACGCUCUUGAUGGUGAAGUCCCUCGCGGAUGGAGCUGACGAGAGUCGCAGAUACCAGGUGGCUGCAACUGUUUAUUAAAAACACAGCACUGUGCAAAAUCGCAAGAUGACGUAUACGGUGUGACGCCUGCCCGGUGCCGGAAGGUUAAUUGAUGGGGUUAGCGCAAGCGAAGCUCUUGAUCGAAGCCCCGGUAAACGGCGGCCGUAACUAUAACGGUCCUAAGGUAGCGAAAUUCCUUGUCGGGUAAGUUCCGACCUGCACGAAUGGCGUAAUGAUGGCCACGCUGUCUCCACCCGAGACUCAGUGAAAUUGAAAUCGCUGUGAAGAUGCAGUGUACCCGCGGCUAGACGGAAAGACCCCGUGAACCUUUACUACAGCUUGGCACUGAACAUUGAACCUACAUGUGUAGGAUAGGUGGGAGGCUAUGAAGACGUGACGCCAGUUGCGUUGGAGCCGUCCUUGAAAUACCACCCUUGUAUGUUUGAUGUUCUAACUUAGACCCAUUAUCUGGGUUGAGGACAGUGCCUGGUGGGUAGUUUGACUGGGGCGGUCUCCUCCCAAAGAGUAACGGAGGAGCACGAAGGUGGGCUAAUCACGGUUGGACAUCGUGAGGUUAGUGCAAUGGCAUAAGCCCGCUUAACUGCGAGAAUGACGGUUCGAGCAGGUGCGAAAGCAGGUCAUAGUGAUCCGGUGGUUCUGUAUGGAAGGGCCAUCGCUCAACGGAUAAAAGGUACUCCGGGGAUAACAGGCUGAUACCGCCCAAGAGUUCAUAUCGACGGCGGUGUUUGGCACCUCGAUGUCGGCUCAUCACAUCCUGGGGCUGAAGUCGGUCCCAAGGGUAUGGCUGUUCGCCAUUUAAAGUGGUACGCGAGCUGGGUUUAGAACGUCGUGAGACAGUUCGGUCCCUAUCUGCCGUGGGCGUUGGAAGAUUGAAGGGGGCUGCUCCUAGUACGAGAGGACCGGAGUGGACGAACCUCUGGUGUUCGGGUUGUGUCGCCAGACGCAUUGCCCGGUAGCUAAGUUCGGAAUUGAUAAGCGCUGAAAGCAUCUAAGCGCGAAGCGAGCCCUGAGAUGAGUCUUCCCUGACAGUUUAACUGUUCUAAAGGGUUGUUCGAGACUAGAACGUUGAUAGGCAGGGUGUGUAAGCGUUGUGAGGCGUUGAGCUAACCUGUACUAAUUGCCCGUGAGGCUUAACCA
This 2733-nucleotide ribosomal RNA is filed under the name Vibrio cholerae. Its description in RNAcentral is "23S ribosomal RNA". It matches the Rfam family "Bacterial large subunit ribosomal RNA". Lineage: Bacteria; Pseudomonadati; Pseudomonadota; Gammaproteobacteria; Vibrionales; Vibrionaceae. The record is from RNAcentral.